UACGUAGGGUGCGAGCGUUAAUCGGAAUUACUGGGCGUAAAGCGUGCGCAGGCGGUUUUGUAAGCCAGAUGUGAAAUCCCCGGGCUUAACCUGGGAAUGGCAUUUGGGACUGCAAGGCUUGAGUGCGGCAGAGGAGACUGGAAUUCCUGGUGUAGCAGUGAAAUGCGUUAGAUAUCAGGAGGAACACCGAUGGCGAAGGCAGCCUCCUGGGCCAACACUGACGCUCAUGCACGAAAGCGUGGGGAGCAAACAGG
Molecule: ribosomal RNA, 254 nt
Filed under: uncultured bacterium
Lineage: Bacteria
Description: partial 16S ribosomal RNA
Rfam family: Bacterial small subunit ribosomal RNA
Source: RNAcentral